UUAAAUGAUCAUGAUACUCUUCAUUCACACAUAACUUCAAAUAGUCCUCUCCUCCUUGGAUUCUCUUUAUCAUGUGUGUUUAUCCUCUUAUCGUCUUGCCUCACCAUCGUCAUUCAUCCAUCAUAUCAUCUCGCUCAACUCGCACUCAAUGCUCCCUCGUCCGAUGACCACAGUUCGAAGGUCAUUCCCUUGGUUUCUUCCAUUUGCAAGACGCUCUUCUUCUCUUGUCGCUUUGUUCAUGUGUUCUUCGUUCGACUUCAAUAGAUCUAAGGCCACGCACAUCAACGACCUUCAUUCUGUCAUAGAUCAUGGUGCUUCUUGUAUUGUGGAGACAUUUUGGAGCUUAGAGAAGGAAAAAUCACUUCAUGCAUCUAAGUUCAUCCCAUCUGUCAGUUAAUCGAGCUCACAAACUAGGUAAAGGCUCCGGUAGGGGUAAGGGGAAGAAAGGAGCAUCUGAAGAGUGAAGAGCAUUGUAGUAUAGCUCUUCCCUUUCUCUUUUUUGGUUUUGUAAUGAAUAUUAUCACUAAAUAUUGCUAACUUAGGAACAUGACAUUGUUUGGAUAUCACUUAUAUGAAUUUGUGAUAAGUUGUAUAUCUUGGUCCAAGAAUGGUGUUAUGGAUUAGGUGUGCUUGGCCAAGUUACUUACAUGUAAUAUAUGUCAAGUGUUUUGAGUGUCAAAAUGACCAAUUGAUUAAUGUGUUGAACUUUGUUCACCAUGUUAUGUUAUUGUCCAA
Molecule: long non-coding RNA, 735 nt
Organism: Prosopis cineraria
Lineage: Eukaryota; Viridiplantae; Streptophyta; Magnoliopsida; Fabales; Fabaceae
Exons: 2
Source: RefSeq, a predicted model, not a curated record